Molecule: long non-coding RNA, 4238 nt
Filed under: Eucalyptus grandis
Lineage: Eukaryota; Viridiplantae; Streptophyta; Magnoliopsida; Myrtales; Myrtaceae
Description: long non-coding RNA (EGRA_LNC004413)
Source: RNAcentral
ACUUUUCAAUCGGAUUAAAAGUGUCGUAUUUGGAAUCUAAUGCAUGUUUUUGUAAGGCAUUGGCUGCAACUGCUUCUAACUGAACAGCACAAGUUGUUCGGCACACGGGUUCAUUUCUCUGAUUUGGAUAGCCGGAAAGAUCUCCUCUUUUCUGAUGAUUUGGUUUUGCUUAUCCAACAGGUCUCGCGCCCGAAAUUCCUGAGGAUCUCUACCACCUCAUCAAGAAGGCAGUGUCCAUCAGGAAGCACUUGGAGAGGAAUAGGAAGGACAAAGAUUCCAAGUUUAGGCUCAUUCUUGUCGAAAGCAGGAUCCAUAGGCUCGCGCGCUACUACAAGAAGACCAAGAAGCUUCCCCCUGUCUGGAAAUAGUAAGCUCUCUUGCUGAUGUUUGUUGAAAUCUUUAUGUUGCACAGUAGUAAGCACAAUAUCAAGUUCUGUUCCGCGUAUUUAAUGAUUCUCUAAUUUGUCACCAUCUAGCAACUUCAACUGAAACUAUGGGAAUUAGUCUUCAGUAGUUUUUGACCUGCACAUGGGCAGGGGAGUCCAACAGACAACUCCCUUGCUAGACCAAUCGACUCUUUCUUCCCUAAUAUGAAUCUAAGGCCCUACUACCUGACUUGGAGACUUGGAGUGGUACCUCGACUGAUGAGUCUGUUACAGAUGUCUGAGUCUUCCAUGACUCAUGGUUGUAAAUGUAAUAGAUAAACCAAUAUGGUCUGCAGCUUAGCAGUGGUUAACUUAUCUUGACAUCGAACUUUUAAGUUUUGGAUGUCAGAGCAGAGUCAUAACGUACUAUUGUCUCAUGCCUGGUUACUCUUUUUGGUAUAGAUAUACUUUCCUGCUGGUCUUGGUGUUUUCCUGUUUCUAGUUGUCUCCUGUUAAGGGCAGAUUGGUUGAAAAUAUCCUUCAAACUUCAUCUUUUGUCUAGUAAUGUGCAUUCUCCAUUAUCCUGUCUUCUAUAGAUUUAUUAAAUUUUAUGAUUUUAUUUAUCCCUUGUUUUUUGUCUGUGUUGCAGCGAGUCUACAACUGCUAGCACUCUUGUGGCUUAAGCAGCAUUUUGGAUCAUAAACCAGUUUUGAUGUAGCAUUUGAUUGCUGGUGGUCAUUGAUGCUCUCUCACUCACUAUUGCUCUUGAGAAUUUCAUGUAGUUUGGAUGAAAGUAUAUUUUUUAUUGUACUCUAGGUGAGGAUAGAGAGAUGAGAUUUGUUGCGUUUGGACUAUCAUUUUCAUUUAUUGAUUUUGAAGUUGACCUAUGUAGCGUCGUCUUGGUGCUAAUGGUUCAAUUUGGAAAUAGCUUACUUCCAAUUGCUCCACAAGUUGGAGCUCUCCUCUCGGUCAUUUGAAAAAAAGAUGAGGAUAUCCUCUUUUGAGGACAUCUUAAUUUAGUGGUAAUUCAAUGACGAUCUCGUGCUGGGGACCGAUUACAAAUUACCAGCCAAACACGAUAAGGAGCAAGAUGCUGUCGAUGAUAACGUAUGAUGUUGGUUGAUCCAAAGUAACACAACUGCUUUCCAUCUUUUUCCUUUGUUAGAUUGAGGACGUCUUGUUCCGAUUGUGGCCUCUCUAGUUCGUGAUUCAUAGUUGAAUGUAUGCUUGAGAGAGUCAAUUUGAGGCAGGUCUGAAUGGUCUUCUCGCGGUUGUAAGUUCUAACUGCUGAAGUUGGGUGAAUUUAGGUUUAGGUACGGUGUUGUGACUCGAGCUGUAGAAGCAGCAAAUCUAACAGAUUUAUUAUCAAAUUCUUGACCAGGAAAAUGUUUGUUUGAAAGCAAGAACGACAGGGCUGAUAGACUCAAUCGGCUUUAUUUGGUAUUUGAAACCUUUUCCUUAAUUUCCUUGAUAGCAACUUAAGGUUCAGUCCUCGCAUUCUUUUAAAUGUUCCACUUGGCUUGCGGCUUCGAGGUGCCAAUGCUUUGGUGUUGUCCUGCUUCUUCUCGAUGCUAAUCAUCAGAACAGUCCCUGCAUAAAACAGGAGUGAGGUCCGACAUCAUGAGAUGAAAAUGCAAGUACACCGACCCAUAAUUCAAGGAUGCCUACGGAGUCAAUCAAAGAGCGGUACCUCUUCACGACAGAAUUUGCAGAACUGUUAGUUGCCUGAUUUAAACCCCUGACUAAUGCAGCCGGUACCUGGAAACGAAAAACGCCAAAUGGCUUUUAGAGGAGAGGAAGAACAGGGAAUUCGAUAAGAAAGAUUAUGAAUCGGAGUUAUUUGGUGUUGUCAAGUUCUUUCGAUUUCUCUUGUCAGAGUUAGCUAUCGGGGGAAUGAGCUGGCGUUACUUUAUUAUGAGUGAGAUUAUAGUUAAUAAUUAGAACACCCUUUGAUAACAGGUUGUAACUAAUUCAAUUAACAGAUGACACAAGAUGAAUGCUCGCGCCUAAGCCUGUAUUUUUCGUUCUCAAAAGAGUCAAAAUUUUGACUAAGUUGUGCCUGAUCUGUGGUUAGCACGGUAUACUUAUAUAAUGAUACCUCAAAACUGGCAGAUUCUUGAGGCAAAAGUUGGUUCCUUGAUAAUUUUACAUGCUAGUAAGCGAACAAUCCCUGUUAUUUCUAAUGCCAAUGUAUAUGUAAGAAAGAAUGCGAUCAAUGAAUACUCACUUUGAAAUGUUCUAUACGCUUGAUAGCAUCGUUAGGGAAUCCUAUGAGCAAUUCAACUUCUCAAACCUAUCAAAUUUCUCCCAUCGCUGGAUUGUCAGAUCUAUUUCACUAUGCAUCACAGCAAAAUAAGUAAAUGAGGUACAUUCAAACCAAAUCCACAACUGACUAUACAACUCUGAGGACUUUACAAACCCGAUCUUAUCCCUUGCUUCCGCUCGUUGCUGAUUAAGCACCGCGAGUUCUUCCUCGGAGCCUACAGAAAAUAUUAACAUCAAAGUCAAUCAUCUUUUGAUUGAUUAGCAGGUCAACGAUAAGCAAGAGUAGCAGUCAUAGAUCAAUUGAUAUACCCGCAUUCGGAAGGCAGUUGGACCGUCACCAAUAAUUUUUAUCAUAAUCAAAUGAAGGAUAAACAAUUCGAGUUCUUCUGAUUAUUCUUGUCCGAGUAAGCUCAUCGCAAGAAUGGUAUUUUUCCCUCCAUUUUAGACCUCAUUAAACUUUAAAAACUUAAUUAAGAGAGCCGAGGAAAAGAGGAGUGCCUAUCCCUCUCAAGCCCAUUCCGCAUUUUCUUCUGGGCCCAAGCCCAUUAGAGGGCUUCUGUAAGGAGUUCUUAUACAAAACCCUAGAUACUCGCCUGGAUCCCCUCCCCGUCGUCGGAAGAAGAAGAAGAAGAAGAAGAAGAAGAAGCACCUCCUCAGCAGGCGGCGAGUCGCAGCGGAAGCCGUCCUCCACAAGCUCGUCGCCAUGGGUCGCAUGCACAGUCGCGGGUACGUUCCUGCUUUCUAUCGCUUCUCCGAUUGUCUGUGCGGAUGAGCGAGUGGCCGGAUUCGUCAUAGCUCGUGCAUGUGAAAUUUUUUUUUUGUAGUAAGGGCAUCUCAGCCUCGGCGCUUCCUUACAAGAGGACUUCUCCGAGCUGGCUCAAGAUCUCCUCUCAGGACGUGAGUGGAAUCUCUCUUCAUUUGGUUUUCGGUUUCGUGUGAGGCGGGCGUAUCUCGUGGGAUUGAUUCGAUUCGAUUCGAUAUCUGCUGUAGGUGGAGGAGAACAUCUGCAAGUUCGCGAAGAAAGGCUUGACGCCGUCGCAGAUUGGUGUCAUUCUUCGUGACUCUCACGGGAUUGCCCAGGUGAGGAGCGUCACCGGUAGCAAGAUCUUGCGUAUCCUCAAGGCACACGGUACGUUAUACUUUCCAUUUUCAUUGUAUUCGUGAAGUGAAUUUUGCCUGUUAAUAUAUAGAUGCUGUCUAUAUGCUAGCUAUGGAGUACUUAAAGUUGUAAGCUUGAUGACUUUGGCGGCUGAAACCAGUUAAAUCACUGCUUUAAGAGGAGAUUAGUUAGUUUUUUGGAGCUUGUUAUGUUGUUGUGGUCCCAAAAUCAUACUGAAAACUGUUGGAUCGGAUUGACAAGAAGUCAUUUCUGGAAUCCAAUGCGUGUUUUUGUCUUGCGUAAAAGUUGGUAUAGAUUGUUGGAGAAAGCAUCGGCUGCUACUGCUUCUAACUAAACGGCACGAGUCGUUUGGCACAGGAAAGUCUCCGCUUUUUCUGAUGAUUUUCGGUUUUGCUUUUCCAACAGCCCUUGCGCCCGAGAUUCCUGAGGAUCUCUACCACCUCAUCAAGAAGGCAGUGUCCAUCAGGAAGCAUUUGGAGAGGAACAGG